CUCCCACAGUGGUGAGAGCUGAGAGGUGACCACAGAAAGCAUUGGACAAUCCACCUGUUCCCCAUCGCGGGGCCGUUUCAACAUUCCAAUCAUACGUGGCAGCAAUGUUAUAAAUGUGAUUGAAGAAUAUUUAUUGUCAAGGUUAUCACAUUGUAAUAAAACAUAUGGGUACUUUAAGACCCUGAUAAAACAGCUGUGUUUGCUCAGGUGAAGGAAGGCAUGCAGGUGUAAAGUGUUAGCUGACGUUUUAAAUAGAUUUAGCUCAGUAGGAAAAAAGAUGGACUCUGCUGGAAAGAAAAAAAAAAAGAAAAGAAAAAAAAACACAAAACAACAUGGGGGCAAGUACAGAACCUCUUUACUCCCCACUGAUUUCUCCUUCUCCCACGAUUUUUCCUCCUGGCAGAUUCUGUGCACCCCUGAGCUGAAGAGCAGUCCUUAG
Molecule: long non-coding RNA, 439 nt
Filed under: Anser brachyrhynchus (Pink-footed goose)
Lineage: Eukaryota; Metazoa; Chordata; Aves; Anseriformes; Anatidae
Description: lncRNA (ENSABRG00000000775.1)
Source: RNAcentral